AGUACUGUAUUGGGCAUGAAG
RNAcentral lists this microRNA (21 nucleotides) under Panax ginseng (ginseng). Its description in RNAcentral is "pgi-miR6143a". The record is from miRBase by way of RNAcentral. Lineage: Eukaryota; Viridiplantae; Streptophyta; Magnoliopsida; Apiales; Araliaceae.